CCUACGGGGAGCUGCAGUGAGGAAUAUUGGUCAAUGGGAGAGAUCCUGAACCAGCCAAGCCGCGUGAGGGAAGACGGCCCUAUGGGUUGUAAACCUCUUUUGUCGGAGAACAAAACCCGGGACGUGUCCCGGACUGCGUGUAUCCGAAGAAAAAGCAUUGGCUAACUCCGUGCCAGCAGCCGCGGUAAUACGGAGGAUGCGAGCGUUAUCCGGAUUUAUUGGGUUUAAAGGGUGCGUAGGCGGUCCGUUAAGUCAGCGGGAAAAUUGCGGGGCUCAACCCCGUCGAGCCGUUGAAACUGGCAGACUUGAGUUGGCGAGAAGUACGCGGAAUGCGCGGUGUAGCGGUGAAAUGCAUAGAUAUCGCGCAGAACUCCGAUUGCGAAGGCAGCGUACCGGCGCCAGACUGACGCUGAGGCACGAAAGCGUGGGGAUCGAACAGGAUUUAGAUACCCGGGUAGUC
Molecule: ribosomal RNA, 460 nt
Filed under: uncultured bacterium
Lineage: Bacteria
Description: partial 16S ribosomal RNA
Rfam family: Bacterial small subunit ribosomal RNA
Source: RNAcentral